RNAcentral lists this ribosomal RNA (327 nucleotides) under uncultured eukaryote. RNAcentral's name for it is "partial 18S ribosomal RNA". It matches the Rfam family "Eukaryotic small subunit ribosomal RNA", at positions 1470 to 1796 of the family's 1831-position model. The record is from RNAcentral.
CCCUUAGAUGCUCUGGGCCGCACGCGCGCUACACUGGUCGAUGCAACGAGUUUCUUUCCUUGGCCGACAGGCCUGGGCAAUCUUUGAACAUCGAUCGUGAUCGGGAUAGAUUCUUGUAAUUUUUGAUCUUAAACGAGGAAUUCCUAGUAAACGCAAGUCAUCAGCUUGCAUUGAUUACGUCCCUGCCCUUUGUACACACCGCCCGUCGCACCUACCGAUUGAAUGGUCCGGUGAAAUCUUGGGAUCCUGUGAGACGGUCUUUAUUGUACUGUUUUGUGGGAGAACUUGAGUAAACCUUACCAUUUAGAGGAAGGUGAAGUCGUAACA